Long non-coding RNA from Uranotaenia lowii, 559 nucleotides. RefSeq lists it as uncharacterized. The record is from RefSeq and is a predicted model, not a curated record. NCBI's taxonomy places the organism in Eukaryota, Metazoa, Arthropoda, Insecta, Diptera, Culicidae. The transcript has 3 exons.
GUGGAAAACCAAAAAAAUGGUUAAAAUUUCAAUAACAAGCGAAAAUUUUCGUUCCGCCAUUGUUUUUUUCAGCGACUCAAAGGAUCGGGCUCCGUUUUUCUUCCUUAAAUUUCGCAACACAGUUUCAAAGUUUCAUUUUAGGCAGUCGCUGUUAGAGCGCGGAGGAACGCGGAGCAAUCGAGUCGAGGAACAUGCUGAGAAAAUUUGUCAUCAACUGCAGCGGAAAAAAUGCACCAAAAAGACCACCCGAUAAGAACAAAAAAGUUCCGGAUUUGGAACUCAAGUUUGAAGCGCUAUUCGAAGAGUAAAAGGAAUAUGAAUCAGCUCAACCGAAAAUCGAUUUGAACCCAGGAACCUACAGAAAAUUGGAAAUCGAUUUUAUGAUCUACAUACAGAAAGAGACAGCUUCUUCCGGCAACCCAAAAACACUCCCGGAAAUGUCCAUAGUACUAAUCGGAGGAUCAACACCUACUGAAAAUUGAACAACAUCAUCUUCAAGAACUGAUGAAUGUUAUUCUAUAUUAACUUGUUCAAAUUAAAUAACAAUAAAAAACUAUGU